GUAAAGAGCGGCGGACGGGUGAGUAACGCGUGGGUAACCUACCCUGUACACACGGAUAACAUACCGAAAGGUAUGCUAAUACGGGAUAAUAUAUUUGAGAGGCAUCUCUUGAAUAUCAAAGGUGAGCCGGUACAGGAUGGACCCGCGUCUGAUUAGCUAGUUGGUAAGGUAACGGCUUACCAAGGCGACGAUCAGUAGCCGACCUGAGAGGGUGAUCGGCCACCUUGGAACUGAGACACGGUCCAAACUCCUACGG
This 256-nucleotide ribosomal RNA is filed under the name Clostridioides difficile. RNAcentral's name for it is "partial 16S ribosomal RNA". It matches the Rfam family "Bacterial small subunit ribosomal RNA", at positions 88 to 344 of the family's 1533-position model. The record is from RNAcentral. Lineage: Bacteria; Bacillati; Bacillota; Clostridia; Peptostreptococcales; Peptostreptococcaceae.